Molecule: non-coding RNA, 232 nt
Organism: Lyngbya majuscula
Lineage: Bacteria; Bacillati; Cyanobacteriota; Cyanophyceae; Oscillatoriales; Microcoleaceae
Source: Rfam
GUCAAUAACUCACCGCUAACUCACCCACGAGUAUAGCGGGAGCUUGUGAAAGCUCUUAGUUGACCAGUCUGAGUUCUUAGAGAACUACGUUAUUUUCAAGCGUUUAAAUUCCUACCUGGGGAUGCGUAGCUAGUCCCCAGCUCUAGAACCCAAUUAUUAAACAGGCGUAGUUGAGUUAGGCCAGUGUAAUUGGGAAAGUACCGAGAAAUAACAUUGACGAAGCUAACCUUAC